This 361-nucleotide transfer RNA is filed under the name uncultured cyanobacterium. RNAcentral describes it as "16S-23S ribosomal RNA intergenic spacer". The stretch from base 133 to 206 matches the Rfam family "tRNA". The record is from RNAcentral. Lineage: Bacteria; Bacillati; Cyanobacteriota.
AAGGGAGACCUAAUUCGGGUAUAAGACGAAAAAAUAGUAGUCGAAACCAAGAAUCAAUCCCAAAAGGUCGGAACGAGGUAUGUGGCUUUCAAACUAGGUUCUGGGUUCAUAAAAGACCUGAAUCAGGAACAAGGGCUAUUAGCUCAGGUGGUUAGAGCGCACCCCUGAUAAGGGUGAGGUCCCUGGUUCGAGUCCAGGAUGGCCCACCUGCACAGGUGGCAAAAACAAAGAAAAAAAGCUCCGAAUCAGCACCUUAUCUUACUUAUACAGUAAGAGAGAAUGCUGGCUCUGAGUUCAGAGUCCAGAGGAACCUUGAAAACUGCAUAGAGCUAGGUGAAAAAGCCAAAAAAGAAGACCGCAA